Molecule: long non-coding RNA, 203 nt
Filed under: Gossypium raimondii (Peruvian cotton)
Lineage: Eukaryota; Viridiplantae; Streptophyta; Magnoliopsida; Malvales; Malvaceae
Description: long non-coding RNA (GRAI_LNC002577)
Source: RNAcentral
GCGUCGUCAAGAUUAAUCGCUUGAUCUCUUUAAACUUGGGGACUUUUUGUCUGGGUGAAAUAGGGGAAUGGAAAGAGGUUUUGUUGUGCUAUCAUUGGACGAUGAGGAAGAGGAGGUUGUUCAGGUGCAGAAAGAGUCAGAUCCAGUUUCUGCGGAAGAGGAUUUUUGUUUGGUAGAGUGUUUUUUAACAGCAAGUGUUAUAC